UUUAUGGAGGGUUUGAUCCUGGCUCAGGAUGAUCGCUGGCGGCGUGCCGAAUACAUGCAAGUCGGGCGAACAGACGGGGAGCUUGCUCCCUCGACGUUAGCGGCCGACAGGCGGGGAACACGUGGGGAACCUACCUCUAAGACUGGAAUAAAACCGGG
Molecule: ribosomal RNA, 158 nt
Filed under: Staphylococcus pettenkoferi
Lineage: Bacteria; Bacillati; Bacillota; Bacilli; Caryophanales; Staphylococcaceae
Description: partial 16S ribosomal RNA
Rfam family: Bacterial small subunit ribosomal RNA
Source: RNAcentral